AUUUCAUACCAUUCUCAUCGUUAUUCUAUUUUAUUACCAUCAAAAUUCGUUAUCGCGUACCCCUGAUCACCUAGAGUAUGAUGCAUGUUGGAUUAAGUUUUUGGAAAUUUUGCUAUUAGUCAUACAAAUGGGACUAAUGUGACUAUACAUGGUUUCGUUUUAUAAUUACUAUGCAAAUGUUUAGCAAUAGACUUUACUCUCUGGUCUCUGCCAAAACAAUUCCUUCCCCAAAACCCUAAUGUUUGUCCAGGAUUCAAUGCUGAAUGAAUCUGCAAAAAUCCAGAUGGAAAUCGAAACUUAAGUACUUAUUAGGUGGCAUCAUAAGUUCGAUUUACAGAAUUCCCUGCAAUUUUGAUUCAAUCCAGUUCAGUUAAAUUCUGAGGUUUGCGAGCAGGAGUCGGUGCAACUGCAAUUCGAUGAUAACUCGAUCGAAACUCGUGGAGCAACUCAGAGAUUACCAGGUCCGAUCCCAGCACAAGUGUCCCCCUCUCGCCGUCUUCUCUCCAAAACCCAUUCUUUCAACCUGGAGUGAUGUUGCACUUGCUGUUUUUUGGGCCUUUAUAUUUAUUACCUUCUUACUUUCAUCAUAUGUUUUCCUUUACCUAAAACAUUACUGGAUUUCCUCCAUUAUACUAUGCCUUGGCAUCCUUCUUCCUAUACGGUUGAGAAUUCUGCGGCAGUCACUUGCUAGAAAGAGGGACAGAAGGCUGUUGCUACCUCUAUCCAUGUGAGUAUCUUCAAAUAUGCUUGAAGCGUUUGAAAAUACUCGCCCGCAGUCAAAAGGGGUUUUCAGUUGCAUCCUAGGAAGCUCGAGGCUGCAACAUCAUUGGUAUACACUUACCUACCUGUUGUAAGAAGUAUUGGAUGCCUCUAUUCUCUGACCCACACACUGAAGCAUCGAGAAUUUGAAGGAGUAAUGGAACCCUGAGGGAAGGACUCUAAAUAACUCUACCAAAUGUUGGAUUCUUGACUUCAAAUUUUGCAGCAUUUUUAAAUUGUAAAUGUCUUUGAGGCGUGACUUUGGCCAUCGAUUUGAGUUAAUAGAUGUUACUUAAAAAAAUCGCCACUGUUAAUGGAUGAGGUCUGGCAAUUUAUUUAUUUGAAGAAAUGACUUGAAACUGCACCAAA
Salvia miltiorrhiza (redroot sage) is the source of this 1128-nucleotide long non-coding RNA. RefSeq lists it as uncharacterized. NCBI's taxonomy places the organism in Eukaryota, Viridiplantae, Streptophyta, Magnoliopsida, Lamiales, Lamiaceae. The transcript is spliced from 2 exons. The record is from RefSeq and is a predicted model, not a curated record.